This 443-nucleotide ribosomal RNA is filed under the name Cyanobacteriota bacterium 6889_1RGII. RNAcentral describes it as "bacterial SSU rRNA". It matches the Rfam family "Bacterial small subunit ribosomal RNA", at positions 338 to 795 of the family's 1533-position model. Lineage: Bacteria; Bacillati; Cyanobacteriota. The record is from RNAcentral.
CCUACGGGGGGCUGCAGCGACGAAUCUUCCGCAAUGGGCGCAAGCCUGACGGAGCGAUGCCGCGUGAGGGAGGAAGGCUCUUGGGUUGUAAACCUCUUUUCUCAGGGAAUAAGAAAGUGAAGGUACCUGAGGAAUAAGCAUCGGCUAACUCCGUGCCAGCAGCCGCGGUAAUACGGAGGAUGCAAGCGUUAUCCGGAAUGAUUGGGCGUAAAGCGUCCGCAGGUGGCACUGUAAGUCUGCUGUUAAAGAGCAAGGCUCAACCUUGUAAAGGCAGUGGAAACUACAGAGCUAGAGUACGUUCGGGGCAGAGGGAAUUCCUGGUGUAGCGGUGAAAUGCGUAGAGAUCAGGAAGAACACCGGUGGCGAAGGCGCUCUGCUAGGCCGCAACUGACACUGAGGGACGAAAGCUAGGGGAGCGAAUGGGAUUAGAUACCCCGGUAGUC